This is a non-coding RNA of Portunus trituberculatus (swimming crab), 72 nucleotides long. Lineage: Eukaryota; Metazoa; Arthropoda; Malacostraca; Decapoda; Portunidae. The record is from the annotation of a RefSeq genome assembly.
GGUCCCAUGGUGUAAUGGUUAGCACUUUGGACUUUGAAUCCAGCGAUCCGAGUUCGAGUCUCGGUGGGACCU